Long non-coding RNA from Hyla sarda, 555 nucleotides. RefSeq lists it as uncharacterized. The transcript is spliced from 3 exons. Lineage: Eukaryota; Metazoa; Chordata; Amphibia; Anura; Hylidae. The record is from RefSeq and is a predicted model, not a curated record.
UACUAUGUCUACAUAUGGAGCCCAGUGGCAGUAAUGAUCCCAAAAUUGUGCCUGCAAUGUAUGUGAACGAGUUCUGAAACCUGCCAAAUCAUUCCCCUGACUCAGAAACAGCUGUCAGGGGAUCUAUGAAAUGUGAAACUGCAGGUAGAAAAAAAAUCAUAAUAAUUGGAAGCUGCAAAAAAAAAAAAAAAAAAAACAGGAUAAAAACUGGGAUGAAACUGGAGCUGCCAGAAGACAACUUUGUCCUUUGUUUUCCAAUUAAGUAAACUGGCUUUGUUUUGAAAUGCCACCUGGUAUUGGGUAGCGGUGGAAAGACAAUGCUAAUGAGGAAGUGCCAUGUUAAUGCAUCAUUAUUAAUGGCUGAUUAGUCAAAAGGGCAUUGUAAGAAGAAGGAAAGUCGAGGAUGAGCAUCUGAAAUGAAGCAUCUGGGACAACGAUGACAAUUAACUGUGAAUUGUCACGCUCUGAUAUGGUACAUUUAACCUCUUCGAGACACAGUUAUUGUGAGCCUUUAAAUUACAGAAUUUCAUAAUUUUUUUCUCAUUAAAGUUUUUA